CCAACAACCAUCGUUGACGGGCCCGACAUUUACUGCUUAACACUGAGCGAGUGAAAAUGGCUGCCAUGCUCGCUAAGUCUGUCGCCAUUUGCCUCGUUUUAGGCAUCUUGAGCAGCCCAAAGACAGUUCAAGGCUGGAAAUCCAAGUGGUGCAGAACGGAUGCUCACUGCUCGCGAUAUGCUCCCUACUGCGGGGAGGGCAAAUGUCGCCCGGUGACAAAAUUCUGCAGAUCGGACGAAAAGGGUGUGGCUGCGUGUAACGCAUGCCACUGCGAGGGCCAUCACUGGAGCUGUACGGAAAUUGGCUGCGCGAAAAAUUUCAACCAUGAUGGAGCAGUACCGUGUCGGCUGGCAAGGGACCUGUCGGGAUGCCGCCAUUGAUCCUCAUUACCGCUUCGGCAACUACAACUGGAAUUGCAAGACAACAGCCAAAGCUUUCGGAAGCAACUUCAAAAUCGUUCAUGCGCUCUCUUAUUUUCGAGGACUA
Long non-coding RNA from Pollicipes pollicipes, 486 nucleotides. RefSeq lists it as uncharacterized. Lineage: Eukaryota; Metazoa; Arthropoda; Thecostraca; Pollicipedomorpha; Pollicipedidae. The record is from RefSeq and is a predicted model, not a curated record. The transcript has 4 exons.